RNAcentral lists this long non-coding RNA (602 nucleotides) under Rattus norvegicus (Norway rat). RNAcentral describes it as "long non-coding RNA NONRATT031453". Lineage: Eukaryota; Metazoa; Chordata; Mammalia; Rodentia; Muridae. The record is from RNAcentral.
CUGCUGCCAUCUCUGACCACACGGUUCUGGGGGCCGACAGAAAUGUGGCACCCCUCCCUUCAGAGAAGGCUUGCUCAUUAGCUUGUGUGGAGGAGUCCACAGUGGGGUAUGGGAGAAGGGACCGGAAGAAGCCUAGCUGUGGUGAAUGUCUGCAAGCAAGAAGGCCUAGGGCAGGGUCACCCGGGAGGCCUCCCCCAGGCGCCGGGCGAGCUGGUUGGCCUGCUGCACCAGCAGGGAGUUGCCUCCCGUUGGCUCACAUCUACCUGGCCUGUCCUGCACCGCAGUCAUGUGCUUACCUGUGGCUCCACCCGGGGACAAGAGGAGAAGAGACAGACAGAUUGAACAGCACAGAAGAAAGGUAUCCGAGGAUUGAAGCCGUGGGCAGCUCUCAGGACCGCCCUGCCCAGAGACUGGGCACACCCACCAUGUCGUUCUCGAACCACAGGAAGUAGGAGCAGCGGAAGUCCCCUUCCUGGAAUAGCAGCGUGGUGCAGCCCUUCUGCAGGUACCUGCGUGCCAGUCGGAUCAGAGCCCAGACCUGGGAGGGGGAGACUGCUUAGUACGACUUUCAGGCCGUGACCUCCGUACGGAAUGCACAGCAC